Molecule: long non-coding RNA, 344 nt
Organism: Bufo gargarizans (Asiatic toad)
Lineage: Eukaryota; Metazoa; Chordata; Amphibia; Anura; Bufonidae
Exons: 4
Source: RefSeq, a predicted model, not a curated record
AAUUUGAAGAUAUCAGCGCAAGCACCCACAGCAUCUGGGUUAACCCAUUCUUCACAUAGAAAGGAUAACUCAGAAUUGAACCAAGAAAAUUUUGGGAUGAUGUCAGAAAAUACGAGUACAACACCAUCAAAUAACGCAUUUUCAACUAGAAUGCAACCUGGACCCACAAAUUCAGGUUCUCAAACUGGCAGUUAAAGUGAUCUCCAAUCAAAUUUGAAGAUAUCAGCGCAAGCACCCACAGCAUCUGGGUUAACCCAUUCUUCACAUAGGUAAGUAAAUAAUAUAAUCAACAUAUUAACUGUAAUGUUAGGUGCCAUGUCAUCAUGGCUCACCACACUGAAAUU